GACAACCUGAGAUGUACGGAAAAGUAGCUUAUUAUAUUCAACCUACAUUAUGUUUACGGGAUUUGUAAUAUGUUUAUGGAUAUUGGACUUCAGAAAUUUAUAGUAGAUAAUUAUAGUAUUUAUUAUAGCGGAAGAUAAUAGAAGUAAAUUGAGCAGAACCCACCUGCGAGAAGCAGGUUAUGAAUAUAUAAGUGAACGGCAUGUUGGGAUGUAU
This 214-nucleotide non-coding RNA is filed under the name Clostridiales bacterium. RNAcentral describes it as "6S RNA". It matches the Rfam family "6S / SsrS RNA". From Rfam's summary of the family: E. coli 6S RNA was the first non coding RNA to be sequenced, but its function was unknown until recently. It consists of 184 nucleotides that fold into an extended hairpin structure with a large single-stranded internal bulge. The 6S RNA specifically associates with RNA polymerase holoenzyme containing the sigma70 specificity factor. Lineage: Bacteria; Bacillati; Bacillota; Clostridia; Eubacteriales. The record is from RNAcentral.